Molecule: microRNA precursor, 90 nt
Filed under: Microtus ochrogaster (prairie vole)
Lineage: Eukaryota; Metazoa; Chordata; Mammalia; Rodentia; Cricetidae
Description: microRNA 505 (ENSMOCG00000007420.1)
Rfam family: mir-505 microRNA precursor family
Source: RNAcentral
AAAUUGAUGCAUCCAGUGGGGGAGCCAGGAAGUAUUGAUGUUUCUGCCAGUUUAGCGUCAACACUUGCUGGUUUCCUCUCUGGAGCAUCA